Equus asinus (donkey) is the source of this 1630-nucleotide long non-coding RNA. Lineage: Eukaryota; Metazoa; Chordata; Mammalia; Perissodactyla; Equidae. The record is from Ensembl.
GGAGGGAGGGAGAGUGGACGUUUGCUGAAGGAUAACGUGAUCUGCUAGACCGUGUGUUUCCCUGGCUGCCCUGAAUCCCAGCGGAAACGCCAAACAGGCAGCUGGUGCUCAGCGGCUGACACUGCAACCUCCUGGAAGGAGCCACAUCCCAGCUUCUUUUCUGCCUGAUGUCAAAGCACCUCACACUCUGCGUCACUCUGGAAGGUGCUCGAUAAAACUCCCUUUAAUUGAUCAGAGUUCUGGACUAGGAUCAAUCAGCAUGUGACUAUGGUCAAGUCAAUUAACAUUUUCUCUGCUUGAAGGGCUGCGUGUGUAGAAGAUGAAAUGGGAAAAUGUGGUGCUCAGGGGCAUGCAUUCUCAAGCCCAAAUGCCCGGAUUCCGAUGCUGAUUCACAGCUUCCCAGCUGGGUGACUUUGGGCGAGCUGCCUAGCCUCUCUGUUUCAGUUUCCGCCUCUGUAAGUGAGGGUAGUAACAGUGGGUGCCUGAUAGGGUUGUUCUCAGGAUUACGUGGUACAGUCAUGGAAAGCCCAUCAUGGGGGGCCUGACUCAUGAAAAAUAGUUAAUUGUUGUAAGCAAGCUUAAAAAUUUUUUUAAAAAGCAAUGUCCACCUUUUAAGAGACACAGGAUAAUAAAGUGGAAAGAGCUAGGAUUUAGAGUCAGAAAACUUGUGUUGAGUCCUGGCCCCUCUAUUCCCACCACCUGUGACCUUGACCCAGUCCCAGUUUCCUCUGCUGUGAAACGCCGGCUCCUCCCCCGCCCGAGUGAGGAGCAGACAGACGGCAAAGGGCUUCCCUGAUGGAUGUUCCGAAUUCCAUCUUUAGAGUCGUGCCAGGACAUACGCCCCAGGCUGGGGAAUCGUCAUGUCCCUCGUCCAGCAGACCCCAGCAAGCCGACCCCCACGGAAGCCCGUGGACAGGAGUGCGUCCCUCUUCCAGAGUGAACACCUGGCUUUCACAAUCCCAUCACGCCAACAACAAAUGCCUGGAGGUUUUCACCUAGUAUUUGCUUUGUGCUACUAUUUGGCCUUUGCCUGUUUUCUCCACUUUCUCUCCUCCUGUCCCCUCGUGAACCCCCUGCACGUCCAAUAUUCCCCUGCGGCCGCUCUUGUCAAGGUCACUGAUGAUGAUACCAAUCCUGAUAUCAGUUUCCCCGCAUUAAACCCAGCAUAUAUGGGGUUAAAACCAAAACACUCAUUGCUUGCUUACUCUCUGGCUUCCUGGCUCCAGAAUCCACUAUGCUCCAUGGAGACAGACACCGUCAAGGACAAGCACCUGGACUAUCUCCUCCCCACAAAGAGACACAGACUAGUGGGAAAGCUUCUGACCAGCAAGGUCAUGAGCUCCCUCCUCUCUGCAAGUGUCUCCAGGCCAAAGACAGACACCGUCAAGGACAAGCACCUGGACUAUCUCCUCCCCACAAAGAGACACAGACCAGCAAGGUCAUGAGCUCCCUCCUCUCUGCAAGUGUCUCCAGGCCAAAGACAGGCUGGUGGGAAAGCUCUGACCAGCAAGGCCAUAUGCUCCCCCUCCCCUACCUAAAACCCCAAAUAAAAACCCUUCCUUUUAGCUUUUUCGGGGAGUUUGGGAUUUGAGCGUUAGCUGUCCUCUCUCCUUGCUCAGCGCUGUGCAAA